GUUUCUGUAGUGUAGUGGUUAUCACGUUCGCCUAACACGCGAAAGGUCCCUGCUUCGAAACCGGGCAGAAACA
Xenopus tropicalis (tropical clawed frog) is the source of this 73-nucleotide non-coding RNA. The record is from Rfam. Lineage: Eukaryota; Metazoa; Chordata; Amphibia; Anura; Pipidae.